This 501-nucleotide ribosomal RNA is filed under the name uncultured bacterium. RNAcentral's name for it is "partial 16S ribosomal RNA". It matches the Rfam family "Bacterial small subunit ribosomal RNA", at positions 899 to 1397 of the family's 1533-position model. The record is from RNAcentral.
ACUCAAAGGAAUUGACGGGGACCCGCACAAGCGGUGGAGCAUGUGGUUUAAUUCGAGGCUACGCGAAGAACCUUACCCAGGUUUGACAUGUAGUUGACCGCGUAUGAAAGUACGCUUUCUCGCAAGAGACAAUUACACAGGUGCUGCAUGGCUGUCGUCAGCUCGUGCUGUGAAGUGUUGGGUUAAGUCCCGCAACGAGCGCAACCUUUAUUCUUAGUUGCCAUCACGUCAUGGUGGGCACUCUAGGAAGACUGCCGGUGAUUAACUGGAGGAAGGAGGAGAUGACGUCAAGUCAGUAUGGCCCUUAUACCUGGGGCUACACACGUGCUACAAUGGCCACUACAAAGCGCAGCAAACCCGCGAGGGGGAGCUAAUCGCAAAAAAAUGGCCCCAGUUCAGAUAGGAGGCUGCAACUCGCCUCCUUGAAGUCGGAAUCGCUAGUAACGGUAGAUCAGCUACGCUACCGUGAAUACGUUCCCGGGUCUUGCACACACCGCCCGU